Non-coding RNA from Pelobates cultripes (western spadefoot toad), 321 nucleotides. NCBI's taxonomy places the organism in Eukaryota, Metazoa, Chordata, Amphibia, Anura, Pelobatidae. The record is from the annotation of a GenBank genome assembly.
GGCUAAAAUAAUAAAAAAAAGUCUCUGUGAUGGCUUUAUGACUAUAGAACUAUAGAAGUCAUAAAAUGAGUCCUACCAAUUUGUUAAAGAAGUCCAAAUGAGGAUGUUCAAUGAAUCCUGCCAAUUUGGUAAAAAAGUCCAAGUGAGGAUCAGGAACAAGUAUUAUAAAGCCAAAGAUCCCAGUGAGGCUCAGGAACAAGUAUUAUAAAUACAUAAGGCAAUACUUUCAGCAGGCAAAACAAUCCAACCAUAUCCCAACAUCAAUCCCAAUGACUGGACGACACACAGCAUCAGGAGCAGAACUGAACUUUUAAUCACUCA